RNAcentral lists this ribosomal RNA (327 nucleotides) under uncultured eukaryote. Its description in RNAcentral is "partial 18S ribosomal RNA". It matches the Rfam family "Eukaryotic small subunit ribosomal RNA", at positions 1470 to 1796 of the family's 1831-position model. The record is from RNAcentral.
CCCUUAGAUGUCCUGGGCCGCACGCGCGCUACACUGACGGAGGCAGCGAGCUUACCCCUUUGCCGAAAGGCAUGGGAAAUCUUUUGAAUCUCCGUCGUGCUGGGGAUAGAUCAUUGCAAUUAUUGAUCUUGAACGAGGAAUUCCUAGUAAGCGCAAGUCAUCAACUUGCGUUGAUUACGUCCCUGCCCUUUGUACACACCGCCCGUCGCUCCUACCGAUUGGGUGUGCUGGUGAAAUGUUCGGAUCGGCCGUUUGUCGCGGUUUCCGCGGCUCGUGGCUGAGAAGUUCAUUAAACCCUCCCACCUAGAGGAAGGAGAAGUCGUAACA